GACGAACGCUGGCGGCGUGCCUAAUACAUGCAAGUCGAACGCUUUUUCUUUCACCGGAGCUUGCUCCACCGAAAGAAAAAGAGUGGCGAACGGGUGAGUAACACGUGGGUAACCUGCCCAUCAGAAGGGGAUAACACUUGGAAACAGGUGCUAAUACCGUAUAACACUAUUUUCCGCAUGGAAGAAAGUUGAAAGGCGCUUUUGCGUCACUGAUGGAUGGACCCGCGGUGCAUUAGCUAGUUGGUGAGGUAACGGCUUACCAAGGCAACGAUGCAAAGCCGACCUGAGAGGGAGAUCGGCCACACUGGGACUGAGACACGGCCCAGACUCCUACGGGAGGUAGCAGUAGGGAAUCUUCGGCAAUGGACGAAAGUCUGACCGAGCAACGCCGCGUGAGUGAAGAAGGUUUUCGGAUCGUGAAACUCUGUUGUUAGAGAAGAACAAGGAUGAGAGUAAAACGUUCAUCCCUUGACGGUAUCUAACCAGAAAGCCACGGCUAACUACGUGCCAGCAGCCGCCGUAA
This 523-nucleotide ribosomal RNA is filed under the name uncultured bacterium. RNAcentral describes it as "partial 16S ribosomal RNA". It matches the Rfam family "Bacterial small subunit ribosomal RNA", at positions 28 to 523 of the family's 1533-position model. The record is from RNAcentral.